GACGAACGCUGGCGGCGUGCUUAACACAUGCAAGUCGAACGGAAAGCCCCUGCAACGGUGUUUUGAUCGGGUGGCGAACGGGUGAGUAACACGAGAGUAACCUGCGCUGGGCUAUGAGAGAUCGUCAGGAAACUUGGGCUAAUACAGGAUAGGAGCUCCUGCGGCGAGGCGGGGCUUGGAAAGGCUCGGCGGUUGUGGAUGGGCUCGCGGCUUAUCAGCUUGUUGGUGGGGUAGUGGCUUACCAAGCCGUGGAGGAGUAGCCGGCCUGAGGGGGUGAGCAGCAGCCAUGGGGCUAAGGUACGGCCCCGAAGACUACGGGAGGAAGCAGUGGGGAAUAUUGCACAAUGGGCGGAAGCAUGAUGCAGCAACGCCGCGGGCGGGAGGAAGGCCUUCGGGUUGUAAACCGCUUUCGCUUGUGAAGAAGCGGGAGUGACGGUAAUGGGUAAAGAAGCACCGGCUAACUACGUG
RNAcentral lists this ribosomal RNA (468 nucleotides) under uncultured bacterium. Its description in RNAcentral is "partial 16S ribosomal RNA". It matches the Rfam family "Bacterial small subunit ribosomal RNA", at positions 28 to 507 of the family's 1533-position model. The record is from RNAcentral.